RNAcentral lists this ribosomal RNA (253 nucleotides) under uncultured bacterium. Its description in RNAcentral is "partial 16S ribosomal RNA". It matches the Rfam family "Bacterial small subunit ribosomal RNA", at positions 524 to 777 of the family's 1533-position model. The record is from RNAcentral.
UACGAAGGGGGCUAGCGUUGUUCGGAUUUACUGGGCGUAAAGCGCACGUAGGCGGAUUGUUAAGUCGGGGGUGAAAUCCUGGAGCUCAACUCCAGAACUGCCUUCGAUACUGGCGAUCUCGAGUCCGGGAGAGGUGAGUGGAACUGCGAGUGUAGAGGUGAAAUUCGUAGAUAUUCGCAAGAACACCAGUGGCGAAGGCGGCUCACUGGCCCGGUACUGACGCUGAGGUGCGAAAGCGUGGGGAGCAACAGGA